AGUUGCGCCGUUCUCCACGAUUCUCACACCUGUGCAUGCGGUCGGAGUAGCCUCCCGUCUCUCGCCAAGCGAGUCUGCGGGGGGGAUGUCCGGCCCGUAUUUACCAACUCAACGGUCCUAUGGAUGUUGCAAAAAAAGUCUCGAAAGAGCAAUAGAAAGAAAACUUUCGACAACGGAUCUCUUGGUUCUCCCAUCGAUGAAGAACGCAGCGAAAUGCGAUACGUAAUGUGAAUUGCAGAAUUCAGUGAAUCAUCGAAUCUUUGAACGCACCUUGCGCUCUUGGGUAUUCCCAAGAGCAUGCCUGUUUGAGUGUCAUGAAUCCUCAUCCCACGCGACUUUUUUGCGAAAGCGGCGCGCGGAUGGAUCUGAGCGACUGCCGGCGGCCCCGUGCCGUCUGGCUCGCUUGAAAGAGUGGAGCCUCUGUGCUCUUUCGCCCGGUUUCGAUGGCGCACGCGCCGCAUUCGGGACACGA
This is a ribosomal RNA of 472 nucleotides. The stretch from base 162 to 315 matches the Rfam family "5.8S ribosomal RNA".